GACGAACGCUGGCGGCGUGCUUAACACAUGCAAGUCGAACGGUGAAGCGCCUUCCUUUUUGGUGGGUGUGGAUGAGUGGCGAACGGGUGAGUAACACGUGAGUAACCUGCCCCCUUCUUCUGGAUAACCGCAUGAAAGUGUGGCUAAUACGGGAUAUUCUGGGUCUGUCGCAUGAUGGGUCUGGGAAAGAUAUUGUUUCGGUGGGGGAUGGGCUCGCGGCCUAUCAGCUUGUUGGUGGGGUGAUGGCCUACCAAGGCGGUGACGGGUAGCCGGCCUGAGAGGGUGGACGGUCACACUGGGACUGAGACACGGCCCAGACUCCUACGGGAGGCAGCAGUGGGGAAUAUUGCACAAUAGGCGCAAGCCUGAUGCAGCGACGCCGCGUGAGGGAUGGAGGCCUUCGGGUUGUGAACCUCUUUCGCCAGUGAAGCAGGCCUGCCUCGUUUGUGGGUGGGUUGACGGUAGCUGGAGAAGAAGCGCCGGCUAACUACGUG
Molecule: ribosomal RNA, 494 nt
Filed under: uncultured bacterium
Lineage: Bacteria
Description: partial 16S ribosomal RNA
Rfam family: Bacterial small subunit ribosomal RNA
Source: RNAcentral